UACAGAGGGUGCAAGCGUUGUUCGGAAUCAUUGGGCGUAAAGCGCACGUAGGCGGCUUUGCAAGUCGGGUGUGAAAGCCUGGGGCUCAACCCCAGAAGUGCAUUCGAAACUGCAGAGCUUGAGUGUCGGAGAGGGUGGUGGAAUUCCGAGUGUAGAGGUGAAAUUCGUAGAUAUUCGGAGGAACACCAGUGGCGAAGGCGACCACCUGGACGAACACUGACGCUGAGGUGCGAAAGCGUGGGGAGCAAAC
Molecule: ribosomal RNA, 250 nt
Filed under: uncultured bacterium
Lineage: Bacteria
Description: partial 16S ribosomal RNA
Rfam family: Bacterial small subunit ribosomal RNA
Source: RNAcentral